AGUGAACGCUGGCGGUAGGCCUAACACAUGCAAGUCGAACGGCAGCACAGUAAUAGCUUGCUCUUACAGGUGGCGAGUGGCGGACGGGUGAUAAAUACAUCGGAGUCUACUUUUUCGUGGGGGAGAACGUAGGGAAACUUACGCUAAUACCGCAGACGACCUACGGGUGAAAGCAUGGGAUCUUCGGACCUUGCGCGAUUGAAUGAGCCGAUGUCGGAUUAGCUAGUUGGCGGGGUAAAGGCCCACCAAGGCGACGAUCCGUAGCUGGUCUGAGAGGAUGAUCAGCCACACUGGAACUGAGACACGGUCCAGACUCCUACGGGAGGCAGCAGUGGGGAAUAUUGGACAAUGGGCGCAAGCCUGAUCCAGCCAUACCGCGUGGGUGAAGAAGGCCUUCGGGUUGUAAAGCACUUUUGUUGGGAAAGAAAAGCAGCAGGUUAAUACCCCGCUGUUCUGACGUUACCCACAGAAUAAGCACCGGCUAACUUCGUG
RNAcentral lists this ribosomal RNA (492 nucleotides) under uncultured bacterium. Its description in RNAcentral is "partial 16S ribosomal RNA". It matches the Rfam family "Bacterial small subunit ribosomal RNA", at positions 29 to 507 of the family's 1533-position model. The record is from RNAcentral.